AUGGCCACCAGGUGGACAAAGGCACGGAAACAUUGGUCUCCAGAUAUUGCGAAAAAUUGUUACCCUAUGUACCACCAGCAGUUUGAGAUACUUGAUGAGGCAGAAAUCACAUGGAACCCGUGGACUCAGGACCAGCUAAAAAUGGUCUUUGAUGCUCGACACUUCACACCAGGCAUGUUGACCGAUAGUGCAUUCUGGUUGACUCGCUGCAACUUAUUGUUCCUGUGGUGUGUUGAACCUUACAACCCAGAGCGUGUAAUGAGACAGUUCGGUCUCUAUCAAGAAAUUCUACCACCUUUUCCCAGACGUAUCGACGAGGAAACACAUAAGUAA
Molecule: ribosomal RNA, 333 nt
Filed under: Triticum aestivum (bread wheat)
Lineage: Eukaryota; Viridiplantae; Streptophyta; Magnoliopsida; Poales; Poaceae
Description: partial small subunit ribosomal RNA
Source: RNAcentral